This is a non-coding RNA of Delphinella strobiligena, 92 nucleotides long. NCBI's taxonomy places the organism in Eukaryota, Fungi, Ascomycota, Dothideomycetes, Dothideales, Dothioraceae. The record is from the annotation of a GenBank genome assembly.
GCCGGGGUAGCUCAAUCGGAAGAGCGUGUGGCUUUUACCAAAGAGUAAUCAAAACUACCUCAAGGUCGCGGGUUCGAGCCCCGCCUCCGGCG